This is a non-coding RNA of Picea glauca (white spruce), 74 nucleotides long. The record is from Rfam. NCBI's taxonomy places the organism in Eukaryota, Viridiplantae, Streptophyta, Pinopsida, Pinales, Pinaceae.
GGGAUUGUAGUUCAGUUGGUUAGAGUAUCGCUUUGUCAAGACGAAAGUUGCGGUUUCGAGCCCCGUCAGUCCCG